AAGGAAUAUUGCUCAAUGGGAGAAAUCCUGAAGCAGCAACGCCGCGUGGAGGAUGAAGGGUCUAUGACUUGUAAACUCCUGUAAAGAAGGAAAAAAUUCCCAUUUGAUGGGAGAUGAUGGUACUUCUGGAGUAAGCCCCGGCUAACUACGUGCCAGCAGCCGCGGUAAUACGUAGGGGCAAGCGUUGUCCGGAUUUACUGGGUGUAAAGGGUGCUCAGGCGGAUUUGUAAGUCAGAGGUGAAAUCUUACAGCUUAACUGUGAAACUGCCUUUGAUACUGCAAGCCUAGAGUAUGGAAGAGAGUGAUGGAAUAUCUGGUGUAGCAGUGAAAUGCGUAGAUAUCAGAUAGAACACCAAUGGCGAAGGCAGUCACUUGGUCCAUUACUGACGCUAAAGCACGAAAGCGUGGGUAGCAAACA
Molecule: ribosomal RNA, 418 nt
Filed under: uncultured bacterium
Lineage: Bacteria
Description: bacterial SSU rRNA
Rfam family: Bacterial small subunit ribosomal RNA
Source: RNAcentral